This 263-nucleotide unclassified non-coding RNA is filed under the name plant metagenome. RNAcentral's name for it is "partial contains small subunit ribosomal RNA, internal transcribed spacer 1, and 5.8S ribosomal RNA". The record is from RNAcentral.
UUUCCGUAGGUGAACCUGCGGAAGGAUCAUUAUUGUAUAAUCGAGGUGCGAGGGCUGUCGCUGACCCGACUGGUCGUGCGCGCACGAGUGCCCUCACACCUAUCCAUCUCACCCCUAUGUGCACCACCGCGUGGGUCCCCCUUUGGCGUGUUCGGAGGGGGGCUUACGUUAUCACACAAACUUUGUAUGCAGUGUAGAAUGUGUUUUUUGUUUUUGCGAUCACGCAAUCAAUACAACUUUCAACAACGGAUCUCUUGGCUCUC